CCUACGGGCGGCAGCAGUGAGGAAUAUUGGUCAAUGGCCGCAGGGCUGAACCAGCCAAGCCGCGUGAGGGAUGACGGUGCCAAGGAUUGUAAACUUCUUUUGUCAGGGAACAAAGGGCGCCACGUGUGGCGCUUUGCGAGUACCUGAAGAAAAAGCAUCGGCUAACUCCGUGCCAGCAGCCGCGGUAAUACGGAGGAUGCGAGCGUUAUCCGGAUUUAUUGGGUUUAAAGGGUGCGUAGGCGGAAUGUCAAGUCAGCGGUAAAAUUUCGGGGCUCAACCCCGUCGAGCCGUUGAAACUGGCGUUCUUGAGUGGGCGAGAAGUAUGCGGAAUGCGUGGUGUAGCGGUGAAAUGCAUAGAUAUCGCGCAGAACUCCGAUUGCGAAGGCAGCAUACCGGCGCUGAACUGACGCUCAUGCACGAAAGCGUGGGUAUCGAACAGGAUUAGAUACCCCAGUAGUC
RNAcentral lists this ribosomal RNA (459 nucleotides) under uncultured bacterium. Its description in RNAcentral is "partial 16S ribosomal RNA". It matches the Rfam family "Bacterial small subunit ribosomal RNA", at positions 338 to 795 of the family's 1533-position model. The record is from RNAcentral.